RNAcentral lists this non-coding RNA (124 nucleotides) under unclassified sequences. RNAcentral describes it as "LAGLIDADG-2 RNA". It matches the Rfam family "LAGLIDADG-2 RNA". From Rfam's summary of the family: Halobacteria (Archaea). The record is from Rfam by way of RNAcentral.
AUAUGAGGUUCACUUAGAGCCUCGCCAAUCUGGGGAGAUUAGGCAUCCAUUUGGGUAGCAACAGCACCCUUCUGGAGAGACGGCAUCCAGAGGCCGGGUCAUCAGCCCCGGUCGGAACCGUUUC